This is a non-coding RNA of Gasterosteus aculeatus aculeatus (three-spined stickleback), 1918 nucleotides long. Lineage: Eukaryota; Metazoa; Chordata; Actinopteri; Perciformes; Gasterosteidae. The record is from RefSeq and is a predicted model, not a curated record.
AAGUUGUUCCAAUUUGGACUUUUCGAUCCGCCAUGUUGGAUCACCGCUGGACUGCCGUCUCAUUCUAACAAUACUCGGCAGACGUUACAUGAAAAACACGUGUACAUUUUAAACCCACAUUCAACUUCCACAUCUGCGCAUGUGCGACCACAAACCGCCCCUGGAGGACGCGGAUUUGCUCUAUCUCCUGGCUGUCUGCGUAUCCAAGGCUCUACGUUUUCAAUACAUGCUAAGUUCCAACGCGUUACCAGCAUCCCACUGGAAUCUACCUUCAUGGCACAGUUGGACAGCCAUUUAGCCCAAUUGACGUAUAUCUUCCAGACGAAGGGAGGAGUUGCUGGCCAGAAACUAGCUAAACAUCUGGAGAUCUUGCAAGAAGAGACAAGUGAUGUCAAUCCUAAAAGGACAGCUGUCCUAAAGGCUCUUUGCAUCUACCUGGGGGAGGACGAGGGACAGCUUGUUCUGGAGUAUAUGGCCCAGAACACAACUACUAAGAGGUCUGGCUCCUGUGCAGUGAACCCCGACCAUUCCACCGGCUCCAGAACCUGAUCCGGCCCGCUUCAGGUCCCGUCUACUCUGCUGAGGAGCUCAAGAGGAUGCUGGGAAAUCUAGUCAGCCACCGCCGAUGUCACGGGAUUGUGUAUGUGCGCAGCAGAGACAGACAGAGGAUGAAAGCUGCUGCUGCUGCAUCCACCACCUCCACCUCCAGCAGCAGCGCAGCCGCUGCAUCGGCCGCAAGCCAGAGAGCCACGAGUGCAUCACAGCCUCUUGGUCCAGCGCUUGUGGCGUUUGUCUCCAUCUGCUGUGAUGAGAUGCAGGCCCAGGUGAAGAAGCUGGUGGCCCCUAAGCCUGCAUCUACAGGCCCAGAACACAACUACUAAGAGGUCUGGCUCCUGUGCAGUGAACCCCGACCAUUCCACCGGCUCCAGAACCUGAUCCGGCCCGCUUCAGGUCCCGUCUACUCUGCUGAGGAGCUCAAGAGGAUGCUGGGAAAUCUAGUCAGCCACCGCCGAUGUCACGGGAUUGCUGCUCAGAUGAACAGACGCAGAGGAACAUCUGCUCACCUUCUCCAGACCACACUGCUGUGAGUGUCGCUGUGAACAAACGCUGCUCUUCAUGUUCACAUGAUGAGGGUUCUUCCUGCUUUUUGUUUUCCUAAAAACCAGAACACAGGUGCAGCUUCACAAAGGACCAGCAGGUGUCGCCCUAUGACCGCUCCAUGGAGUGAGAGGCGCUGUGGUCUGAAGGAAAACACAAAGUACAACUACUACUGGAAUCAACGUAUCAAUAAGUUAUCGUUGAUGUAUUCCAUAGGAGAACAUUACUCCACACCGGGGUAAAAUCAUUAAAAGGACAUUUGUUAAAUAGUUGUUGAAAGUUGGAGCAGAGGUGAAACACAUACACUAAAGAUGAAAGUUGAUUUUAAAUGACAUUAAAGUUCAUCGUUUUAUGAAUAAAUACUGUCUGAUUUCACGUGUUUUGUUCCCCAUCUUUAAACCUCGACCUUUUAAAUGUACACAUGUUAUUAUGACAGUCUGAACACACGUGUGCCGUCCUUUUUCUUUGCCUUUUGCGUUCACUGGUUACCUGGUUUUACGCGUCACGUUGCAAUGACUUGUGGGUAGGAAAGACUCGGCGGGUUGAUAAUGUGAGCGGUCUAAAGCCUCGCGCAGUUAGCGCUGUGUGUAGAUGACGCAUGCUCUGGUUUAAUGUCGAACGCUCUUCUUUUGCUGCGUGUUGGUUUUGUGUAUACGUUGUGUCCGUGUGUCUAUGAAUGUGAAUUUGAUUUCCUUUUGAGAUUUUUAAUGUUUUUUUUUACUUCAGGCUGCCUCAAAAACAUGGAAAUGAGCCUCUCUGGCUCACUACAGUGCAACUGUUGAUUAGUUUGCAUUGACCCUGCAAAGUAAAUAAAUAAAUA